AAGCAUGAACAAACCAAUCCUCCGAUUUCGUAGAACUUUGUAAAAGUGACCCAAUUGAAGAAACCGAAUCAAAUUCACUGGUGAAUAGAAACACACGAAUCCGUGAAGCUUUCGUAACACGAUCGUAUUCCUCGAUCAUAUUCUCAAGGUCUUCAUCGGUGGUAACAGAAAUAAGCGAAUCAAGGUCUUCAUUGGGAAGCUGAUAUUUCAACCAAAACGGCCUUCCAGCCAAAAGGGUUUUCGAAAGCCGUGAUGAAAGGUCAGAAAGAGAAGUAUUUCUAUCGGUAACGAAGAUUCGGGUAUCCCCGCCGAUAUAACAGAGGGAUUUAUCA
Molecule: long non-coding RNA, 332 nt
Filed under: Solanum lycopersicum (tomato)
Lineage: Eukaryota; Viridiplantae; Streptophyta; Magnoliopsida; Solanales; Solanaceae
Description: long non-coding RNA (SLYC_LNC001416)
Source: RNAcentral